UGAGAGAACCAAGGGCUCAAGCGGAAGGAGAGUGGCUUGGGCAUGCUCUUUCCAAUUUUACUCGCGAUCCCAGACGGACGUCUGAGGAAAAUACUCAAGUAGUGCAGUGAAAGGAAAAAUUCUAACCUCGACCGUAAUUACCGCGUGUCCCUCGUGGCUCAGAUCUAGUCAAAAGAUCAGCCGACCAUUCCUACGUUUAUUAAGCGAAGGCCGAACCCAUCGGGUUUGGCCGUACGUAAUACCGUACGAAACGCCGGUCAUAGUGCCGUAAGCCGUACUCACUACAGUCUCGUCACCUUACCACACAUAUAAAUACCCAGCGUCCCGAUCGACUACAGUAUGGGUUAGCCGUCUUCGACCCCAAAUCUUCUUUCGGCGUGGCGUCUGCAUACAUGUGAGCAUCACUGUAUUUACCGCAGCGUGUACCGGCGUGGGUCCACACACAUACAAGCCUUGCUCGGCCUACCCCAGUGAAAAACGUGACUUUCGUCAUUGCUACGUCGCUUACGCCGCCCGCAUACGAACAGUAACGCUAAAGGAGAAGACAUUUACCGGUGCCGAAAUACUGUUUGCGUUGCUGAUGAAGUCAUUCGGUGUCUCGAUCAUGAUGGCUAUGCCCAUGCAUUUCUUCAUAUUAGAAUAAUACUUUGGAACCCCACUAUUGUACUGACCUAGGAUUAACACUAGGAUUAAC
This is a long non-coding RNA of Drosophila miranda, 694 nucleotides long. RefSeq lists it as uncharacterized. Lineage: Eukaryota; Metazoa; Arthropoda; Insecta; Diptera; Drosophilidae. The transcript has 3 exons. The record is from RefSeq and is a predicted model, not a curated record.